CUGAACAGAACUAGGAGUGUUUCAGGGCAGUAAACUAUAUAUCAACAAUAAUAUUAUCAGUGAAAGUACAGAUUUUAUGUGAAAAAUUCAAAAAAACAACAACAAAUGCUAACUUUGGCUAGGGUUUGUGCCCAAGUGGCUAAUACAAAAGACUGGGCAUACCCCAUUUGGAUACCCUGGGAUGUCUACUUUUUCAAAUGGUGUGCCAUGAUGGAGGUAAUUUUCAUUUUUUGGCUGCCAUACGGUCUCAAAGAAAGCCUGGACACGGCAAACCAAUCUGUCAAAUUUCUAUGUAGAAAAUAAAAUAAUGGAC
Molecule: non-coding RNA, 313 nt
Organism: Pelobates cultripes (western spadefoot toad)
Lineage: Eukaryota; Metazoa; Chordata; Amphibia; Anura; Pelobatidae
Source: the annotation of a GenBank genome assembly